This 58-nucleotide transfer RNA is filed under the name Clostridium sp. CAG:7. It matches the Rfam family "tRNA", at positions 16 to 71 of the family's 71-position model. From Rfam's summary of the family: Transfer RNA (tRNA) molecules are approximately 80 nucleotides in length. Lineage: Bacteria; Bacillati; Bacillota; Clostridia; Eubacteriales; Clostridiaceae. The record is from Rfam by way of RNAcentral.
UGGCUAGAGCACGCGGUUCAUACCCGCGGUGUCGAGGGUUCGAAUCCCCCUCUCGCUA